AUUGAACGCUGGCGGCAGGCCUAACACAUGCAAGUCGAACGAGUGGCGGACGGGUGAGUAAUGUCUGGGAAACUGCCUGAUGGAGGGGGAUAACUACUGGAAACGGUAGCUAAUACCGCAUACCAUCAGAUGUGCCCAGAUGGGAUUAGCUUGUUGGUGGGGUAACGGCUCACCAAGGCGACGAUCCCUAGCUGGUCUGAGAGGAUGACCAUCCCCACUGGAACUUAGACACGGUCCAGACUCCUAAGGGAGGGAGCAAGGGGGAAUAUUGGACAAUGGGCGCAAGGCUGAUUCAGCCAUGCCGGGUGUAUGAAGAAGGCCUUCGGGUUGGAAAGUACUUUCAGCGGGGAGGCGUUACCCGCAGAAGAAACACCAGCUAACUCCGUGCCAGCAUCCGCAGUAAUAC
RNAcentral lists this ribosomal RNA (406 nucleotides) under uncultured bacterium. RNAcentral's name for it is "partial 16S ribosomal RNA". It matches the Rfam family "Bacterial small subunit ribosomal RNA", at positions 30 to 526 of the family's 1533-position model. The record is from RNAcentral.